This 497-nucleotide ribosomal RNA is filed under the name uncultured bacterium. RNAcentral describes it as "partial 16S ribosomal RNA". It matches the Rfam family "Bacterial small subunit ribosomal RNA", at positions 28 to 507 of the family's 1533-position model. The record is from RNAcentral.
GACGAACGCUGGCGGCGUGCCUAAUACAUGCAAGUUGAGCGAUGAAGAUUGGUGCUUGCACCAAUUUGAAGAGCAGCGAACGGGUGAGUAACGCGUGGGGAAUCUGCCUUUGAGCGGGGGACAACAUUUGGAAACGAAUGCUAAUACCGCAUAAUAACUUUAAACAUAAGUUUUAAGUUUGAAAGAUGCAAUUGCAUCACUCAAAGAUGAUCCCGCGUUGUAUUAGCUAGUUGGUGAGGUAAAGGCUCACCAAGGCGAUGAUACAUAGCCGACCUGAGAGGGUGAUCGGCCACAUUGGGACUGAGACACGGCCCAAACUCCUACGGGAGGCAGCAGUAGGGAAUCUUCGGCAAUGGACGAAAGUCUGACCGAGCAACGCCGCGUGAGUGAAGAAGGUUUUCGGAUCGUAAAACUCUGUUGGUAGAGAAGAACGUUGGUGAGAGUGGAAAGCUCAUCAAGUGACGGUGACUACCCAGAAAGGGACGGCUAACUACGUG